GAUGAACGCUGGCGGCGUGCUUAACACAUGCAAGUCGAACGAAGCACUUUAUUUGAUUUCCUUCGGGACUGAUUAUUUUGUGACUGAGUGGCGGACGGGUGAGUAACGCGUGGGUAACCUGCCUUGUACAGGGGGAUAACAGUUGGAAACGGCUGCUAAUACCGCAUAAGCGCCCAGCAUCGCAUGAUGCAGUGUGAAAAACUCCGGUGGUAUAAGAUGGACCCGCGUUGGAUUAGCUAGUUGGUGAGGUAACGGCCCACCAAGGCGACGAUCCAUAGCCGACCUGAGAGGGUGACCGGCCACAUUGGGACUGAGACACGGCCCAAACUCCUACGGGAGGCAGCAGUGGGGAAUAUUGCACAAUGGGCGAAAGCCUGAUGCAGCGACGCCGCGUGAGCGAAGAAGUAUUUCGGUAUGUAAAGCUCUAUCAGCAGGGAAGAUAAUGACGGUACCUGACCAAGAAGCACCGGCUAAAUACGUG
This 481-nucleotide ribosomal RNA is filed under the name uncultured bacterium. Its description in RNAcentral is "partial 16S ribosomal RNA". It matches the Rfam family "Bacterial small subunit ribosomal RNA", at positions 28 to 507 of the family's 1533-position model. The record is from RNAcentral.